Non-coding RNA from Trichobilharzia regenti, 46 nucleotides. The record is from Rfam. NCBI's taxonomy places the organism in Eukaryota, Metazoa, Platyhelminthes, Trematoda, Strigeidida, Schistosomatidae.
GUGCUGCUGAAGAGUCUCAAACUAGGACGAAACAGCUGUCCAGUAC